Molecule: ribosomal RNA, 200 nt
Filed under: uncultured microorganism
Description: partial small subunit ribosomal RNA
Rfam family: Bacterial small subunit ribosomal RNA
Source: RNAcentral
UACGCAGGGUGCAAGCGUUAUCCGGAAUUAUUGGGCGUAAAGGGCUCGUAGGCGGUUCGUCGCGUCUGGUGUGAAAGUCCAUCGCUUAACGGUGGAUCUGCGCCGGGUACGGGCGGGCUGGAGUGCGGUAGGGGGAGACUGGAAUUCCCGGUGUAACGGUGGAAUGUGUAGAUAUCGGGAAGAACACCAACUAGGCGGAA